AUUUAACACAUACUUAUAAACUCUUUUGUGUUUUUCAUUAUUGCUUUUCCUCCCAACCAGAUAUAACUACUUGGGCAGUAUGAAUCACGCCUUAUACUUUCAAAUCCACCACAGAAUUUAAGUUCCGUGUUGGAUAUGUUUCCAGUUUGGGGUGAAUAGAUAACUUAGAAAACGCUGCGCCAUUCACCAUUCCUGCAGAUUCUGAAAGGAGCGGAGAGGAAACCCACAGGUCCUAAGAACUUGCGACCAGCGUCCAAAUCUUGGGAGUAAGGCCGAGUAUGAAGCUGCGUUCGUGGAGACAAAGGUCCUCAGUUCUCAUCCUGCAGGACUGGGUGGCAGAGGCUUUCUUCCUGGAGACACCACUCACACGAUCUGUUAGUGACUGAAUUUCUAAAGACAAAAGACAUUCCUGCAAUCCUUUUAAUAAAAGCAAGGUUUGGGACUAAUCGAAUGGAAACAACAUGGGUGAGCCUUUAGAAAUAAAAACAUCCCAGGGAAUCUAAAGUGUCAUUUCCUCUCUGGAAGAAAGGAAGCACAAAACAUGCUAGGUCACUCAUUUUGCCUUGGUAUAAUAAGCCACUGUGAACAUACCAUGCUUUUUUCAUCUAUUCUCACUUGGGUA
Manis javanica (Malayan pangolin) is the source of this 622-nucleotide non-coding RNA. The record is from RefSeq and is a predicted model, not a curated record. Lineage: Eukaryota; Metazoa; Chordata; Mammalia; Pholidota; Manidae.